RNAcentral lists this microRNA (22 nucleotides) under Canis lupus familiaris (dog). Its description in RNAcentral is "Cfa-Novel-12_3p (mature (guide))". The record is from RNAcentral. Lineage: Eukaryota; Metazoa; Chordata; Mammalia; Carnivora; Canidae.
CCUGAGAGUGAGUACCUCCUGA